GACGAACGCUGGCGGCGUGCUUAACACAUGCAAGUCGAACGGAAAGGCCCUGCUUGCAGGGUGCUCGAGUGGCGAACGGGUGAGUAUCACGUGGGUGAUCUGCCCCCUACUUUGUGAUAAGCCUGGGAAACUGGGUCUAAUACUGGAUAGGACCAUGCUGUAUGUGGUGUGGUGGAAAGAUUAGUUUCGGUAAGGGAUGAGCUCGCGGCCUAUCAGCUUGUUGGUGGGGUAAUGGCCUACCAAGGCGUCGACGGGUAGCCGGCCUGAGAGGGUGGACGGCCGCAUUGGGACUGAGAUACGGCCCAGACUCCUACGGGAGGCAGCAGUGGGGAAUAAUGCACAAUGGUCGCAAGCCUGAUGCAGCGACGCCGCGUGGGGGAUGACGGCGUUCGGGUUGUAAACUCCUUUCAGCCAUGACGAAGCCCUUGUGGUGACGGUAGUGGUAGAAGAAGCACCGGCUAACUACGUG
Molecule: ribosomal RNA, 469 nt
Filed under: uncultured bacterium
Lineage: Bacteria
Description: partial 16S ribosomal RNA
Rfam family: Bacterial small subunit ribosomal RNA
Source: RNAcentral